Molecule: long non-coding RNA, 553 nt
Filed under: Phoenix dactylifera (date palm)
Lineage: Eukaryota; Viridiplantae; Streptophyta; Magnoliopsida; Arecales; Arecaceae
Description: long non-coding RNA (PDAC_LNC010617)
Source: RNAcentral
GCGCGUGCCGGUCACGUGGGGCAUGGUGGCUGAGUUCCCCGUAACAGUAGCCCCCCACUUCCGAGCCUGGAACCAGGAGGGGAACGGGUGAAGGGAGUGAUGCUUCGAGAUUGCCGCCAUCCCUCGGAAAGGCGCGCGCGCUUCGAGCUCCCCGCCUCCUUUAUGGCGUAUAGCGGUUGUCGCUGAUCUGGCAGUCUGCGGAUUUCGGCGGACAUCCUUCCUUAAUGGCGUCGAUUCGCCUUUGAGGCGCGAGCGAUCCUUCGGCAGCCAGGCGUCCUCUGGCGUCACCGAGGCGUCACCCGCCUUUCCGCCUAUUUAACCGGGGGCCCUCCCCCGUCCGCUUUUCUCUUCGCAGGCAUCUUCGAGUUUCUCCCUUGCGCUGCUGUCGUUGCCGUCGGACUGUUCGCUCGCUCCUCCUUUGACGCCCUCGGAGCCGUUCUUCCUUCCCUUCCGGUGAGUUGCCCCAUUCUUCAAUUUAGGGCUCUCCAUACUUUCUCCUUCCGUAUUAGUGUACUCCAGUCGUUCCGGUCCUUUCCCCCUUCUUGGCCCCGUC